UCUCUUCUCACAAGCUGUCGGCAUCUCUACCCAUCCAUCUCUACCUGAUGCCAACGCCAUCUGCCUUGCCACCGCCAGAAGUCGCUCCGUAUCGGUUCGAUGACGAAAAAAUCUCAAACAUAAAGUUAUCCUCUUAUUUUUUUCGUGAUUUGAGUGAUGAUAUGAAUGUUUAUUGUUAAUCUAGCUAGAUCUGUUGAUUGACAAUAAUCUCAUUUUGAUUUCAGAGAGAAGAUUGACCAUUUGCUUCAAAUCUUGAAAUUUUCCUUUCUUUCUUUUUUUCAUUUUUUUUAGAUUCUCUACAUUAGGGUUUUGCUGGAGCAUAUGAUGUUUUUUGGUUGUUUCUCUACAACAAUAUAGUUGUUUAAGUUACUUUUUAAUUGCUUUCAG
RNAcentral lists this long non-coding RNA (387 nucleotides) under Erythranthe guttata (spotted monkey flower). RNAcentral's name for it is "long non-coding RNA (EGUT_LNC000387)". The record is from RNAcentral. Lineage: Eukaryota; Viridiplantae; Streptophyta; Magnoliopsida; Lamiales; Phrymaceae.